RNAcentral lists this small RNA (857 nucleotides) under Pan troglodytes (chimpanzee). Its description in RNAcentral is "processed transcript". Lineage: Eukaryota; Metazoa; Chordata; Mammalia; Primates; Hominidae. The record is from RNAcentral.
GAAGAGACCACGGUAAAGAUCAGCAGACGGCUUCUGUGGGAACAAAGACAGGGAAAGGGGAAAUGAGUUCACCAGAAACCAACAGGCAGCACAGGAGGUGGUAAACCCGAAAAAGAAAAUGAAGAAAAAGAAAUACGUGAAUUCUGGCACAGACCCAGAUCAACUUCACUGUGGCCAUUGAUUUCACUGCCUCCAAUGGGAACCCCUCACAGUCCACAUCCCUGCACUACAUGAGCCCCUACCAGCUGAACGCCUACGCGCUGGCGCUGACUGCCGUCGGAGAGAUCAUCCAGCACUACGACAGUGACAAGAUGUUCCCUGCCCUGGGCUUCGGGGCCAAGCUGCCCCCGGAUGGCAGAGUGUCCCACGAGUUCCCGCUGAAUGGCAACCAGGAGAACCCCUCAUGCUGCGGCAUCGACGGCAUCCUGGAGGCCUACCACCGCAGCCUGCGCACCGUGCAGCUGUACGGCCCCACCAACUUUGCCCCCGUGGUCACCCACGUGGCCAGGAAUGCAGCGGCCGUGCAGGACGGCUCCCAGUACUCGGUGCUGCUCAUCAUUACUGAUGGGGUCAUCUCGGACAUGGCGCAGACCAAGGAGGCCAUUGUCAACGCUGCCAAGCUCCCCAUGUCCAUCAUUAUCGUCGGCGUGGGCCAGGCAGAGUUCGACGCCAUGGUGGAGCUGGAUGGCGACGACGUGCGGAUCUCCUCCCGGGGGAAGCUGGCUGAACGCGACAUCGUCCAGUUUGUACCCUUCCGGGACUAUGUGGACCGCACAGGCAACCACGUGCUGAGCAUGGCCCGCCUGGCCCGAGACGUGCUGGCAGAGAUCCCUGACCAACUGGUGUCCUACAUGAAG